UAUGUGCCUGAUGCGAUACAUGAAAAGACUAUACUUAGAACGCAUUGUCUUGGACCUACUAAAAAAAAAAUACAAAUGCUUGUCAUUAGCGAUGUUUCAAUAUAACGAGUUUCUCGAAGCAUAAGCAUUUUUUGUUUUUUUUUUUUCAAACGCGCACUUAUAUUUCACCAUGAGUUUUUUCUUCGACCGACUCAAAUACGCGUUUGCCGUAAAACUCAAGCCACAAAAACAUUUACAUGCAAGUGUGAAAUAAAAAAAAAAAAAGCGAAUAAAGUUUAAAAGCUCAAUAAGUAUAAAGGGAGAUUUUAGAUUCUGAGUGGAGCGAAGAAGCUUA
This is a non-coding RNA of Cinara cedri, 334 nucleotides long. The record is from the annotation of a GenBank genome assembly. Lineage: Eukaryota; Metazoa; Arthropoda; Insecta; Hemiptera; Aphididae.